Molecule: ribosomal RNA, 1416 nt
Filed under: human gut metagenome
Description: bacterial LSU rRNA
Rfam family: Bacterial large subunit ribosomal RNA
Source: RNAcentral
GGUAAGUCGGGACCUAAGGCGAGGCCGAAAGGCGUAGUCGAUGGACAACAGGUAGAGAUUCCUGUACCCGUAUAUAUGUGAAGGAAUGACGGAGAGAGGAAGCUGCAGCCAGCGGCUGGAAGAGCUGGUGCAAGCGAGAUAUCGGGAUGGCAGGCAAAUCCACCAUCCGAAACGAGAAGGCGUGAAGCGUACGGAAAGCUACGGCGAGUACGGAAGGCAGUGGAGGAACUUCCAAGAAAAGUUUCUAACGUUAAGUAUAUAUGGCCCGUACCGAAAAUGGACACACAUGGGUGAGGAGAGAAUCCUAAGGUGAGCGAGAGAACUAUAGCUAAGGAACUCUGCAAAAUGACUCCGUAACUUAGGGAGAAGGAGUGCUCAUAGAGAUAUGAGCCGCAGUGAAACGGCCCAAGCGACUGUUUACCAAAAACACAGCUCUCUGCUAAGCCGCAAGGCGAAGUAUAGGGGGUGACGCCUGCCCGGUGCUGGAAGGUUAAGGGGAGGGGUUAACGCAAGUGAAGCCCUGAACUGAAGCCCCAGUAAACGGCGGCCGUAACUAUAACGGUCCUAAGGUAGCGAAAUUCCUUGUCAGGGAAGUUCUGACCCGCACGAAAGGCGUAACGAUUUGGGCGCUGUCUCAGCUGUAGACUCGGUGAAGUCUUAGUACCUGUGAAGAUGCAGGUUACCCGCGACUAGACGGAAAGACCCCAUGGAGCUUCACUGCAGGUUGAUAUUGGGAUUUGAUGCAGCAUGUACAGGAUAGGUAGGAGGCAAAGAGAUGGAUACGCCAGUAUUCAAGGAGCCGCUGUUGGGAUACUACCCCUGUUGUAUUGGAUUUCUAACCGGACGACGUAGAGCCGUUGACGGGACAGUGUCAGUCGGGCAGUUUGACUGGGGCGGUCGCCUCCCAAAGAGUAACGGAGGCGCCCAAAGAUACCCUCAGCUUGGAUGGAAACCAAGCGCAGAGUGCAAAGGCAAAAGGGUGUUUGACUGCGAGACCCACAAGUCGAGCAGGGACGAAAGUCGGGCUUAGUGAUCCGGCGGUGCUGAAUGGAAAGGCCGUCGCUCAACGGAUAAAAGCUACCCUGGGGAUAACAGGCUGAUCUCCCCCAAGAGUUCACAUCGACGGGGAGGUUUGGCACCUCGAUGUCGGCUCAUCGCAUCCUGGAGCUGAAGUCGGUUCCAAGGGUUGGGCUGUUCGCCCAUUAAAGCGGUACGCGAGCUGGGUUCAGAACGUCGUGAGACAGUUCGGUCCCUAUCUGUCGUGGGCGCAGGAAAUUUGAGAAGAGCUGUCCUCAGUACGAGAGGACCGGGAUGGACGCAUCAAUGGUGGACCAGUUGUCACGCCAGUGGCAUAGCUGGGUAGCUAAAUGCGGAAGGGAUAAACGCUGAAGGCAUCUAAGUGUGAAACCCACUUCA